UACGGAGGGUGCAAGCGUUGUUCGGAAUUACUGGGCGUAACGCGCACGUAGGCGGACUUGUAAGUCAGGGGUGAAAUCCUGGAGCUCAACUCCAGAACUGCCUUCGAUACUGGAGAGCUCGAGUCCGGGAGAGGUGAGUGGAACUGCGAGUGUAGAGGUGAAAUUCGUAGAUAUUCGCAAGAACACCAGUGGCGAAGGCGGCUCACUGGCCCGGUACUGACGCUGAGGUGCGAAAGCGUGGGGAGCAAACAGG
This 253-nucleotide ribosomal RNA is filed under the name uncultured bacterium. RNAcentral's name for it is "partial 16S ribosomal RNA". It matches the Rfam family "Bacterial small subunit ribosomal RNA", at positions 524 to 776 of the family's 1533-position model. The record is from RNAcentral.